RNAcentral lists this ribosomal RNA (862 nucleotides) under uncultured archaeon. RNAcentral describes it as "bacterial SSU rRNA". It matches the Rfam family "Archaeal small subunit ribosomal RNA", at positions 1 to 854 of the family's 1478-position model. The record is from RNAcentral.
UUCCGGUUGAUCCCGCCGGAGGCCACUGCUAUCGGGGUCCGACUAAGCCAUGCGAGUCAAGGGGGUGUCCCUCUGGGACACCACCGGCGGACGGCUCAGUAACACGUCGGUAACCUACCCUCGGGAGGGGGAUAACCCCGGGAAACUGGGGCUAAUCCCCCAUAGGCCUGAGGUACUGGAAGGUCCUCAGGCCGAAAGGGGCUUUUGCCCGCCCGAGGAUGGGCCGGCGGCCGAUUAGGUAGUUGGUGGGGUAACGGCCCACCAAGCCGAAGAUCGGUACGGGCUGUGAGAGCAGGAGCCCGGAGAUGGACACUGAGACACGGGUCCAGGCCCUACGGGGCGCAGCAGGCGCGAAACCUCCGCAAUGCGGGAAACCGCGACGGGGGGACCCCGAGUGCCGUGGCACCGCCACGGCUUUUCCGGAGUGUAAAAAGCUCCGGGAAUAAGGGCUGGGCAAGGCCGGUGGCAGCCGCCGCGGUAAUACCGGCGGCCCGAGUGGUGGCCGCUAUUAUUGGGCCUAAAGCGUCCGUAGCCGGGCCCGUAAGUCCCUGGCGAAAUCCCACGGCUCAACCGUGGGGCUUGCUGGGGAUACUGCGGGCCUUGGGACCGGGAGAGGCGGGGGGUACCCCUGGGGUAGGGGUGAAAUCCUAUAAUCCCAGGGGGAACGCCAGUGGCGAAGGCGCCCCGCUGGAACGGGUCCGACGGUGAGGGACGAAGGCCAGGGGAGCAAACCGGAUUAGAUACCCGGGUAGUCCUGGCUGUAAAGGAUGCGGGCUAGGUGUCGGGUGAGCUUCGAGCUCGCCCGGUGCCGUAAGGAAGCCGUUAAGCCCGCCGCCUGGGGAGUACCGCCGCAAGGCUGAAC